GACCUACGGGUGGCUGCAGUGGGGAAUUUUGGACAAUGGGCGCAAGCCUGAUCCAGCAAUGCCGCGUGCAGGAAGAAGGCCUUCGGGUUGUAAACUGCUUUUGUCAGGGAAGAAAUCUUCUGGGUUAAUACCCCGGGAGGAUGACGGUACCUGAAGAAUAAGCACCGGCUAACUACGUGCCAGCAGCCGCGGUAAUACGUAGGGUGCGAGCGUUAAUCGGAAUUACUGGGCGUAAAGCGUGCGCAGGCGGCUUUGCAAGACAGAUGUGAAAGCCCCGGGCUCAACCUGGGAACUGCAUUUGUGACUGCAAUGCUAGAGUACGGCAGAGGGGGAUGGAAUUCCGCGUGUAGCAGUGAAAUGCGUAGAUAUGCGGAGGAACACCAAUGGCGAAGGCAAUCCCCUGGGCCUGUACUGACGCUCAUGCACGAAAGCGUGGGGAGCAAACAGGAUUAGAUACCCGGGUAGUCCGC
Molecule: ribosomal RNA, 470 nt
Filed under: uncultured Comamonadaceae bacterium
Lineage: Bacteria; Pseudomonadati; Pseudomonadota; Betaproteobacteria; Burkholderiales; Comamonadaceae
Description: bacterial SSU rRNA
Rfam family: Bacterial small subunit ribosomal RNA
Source: RNAcentral